UUGGGAAUAUUGGACAAUGGGGGAAACCCUGAUCCAGCAAUGCCGCGUGGGUGAUGAAGGCCUUCGGGUUGUAAAGCCCUUUUGGCGGGGACGAUGAUGACGGUACCCGCAGAAUAAGCCCCGGCUAACUUCGUGCCAGCAGCCGCGGUAAUACGAAGGGGGCUAGCGUUGUUCGGAAUUACUGGGCGUAAAGGGCGCGUAGGCGGCCGUGCAAGUCAGAUGUGAAAGCCCUGGGCUCAACCCAGGAGGUGCAUUUGAUACUGCAUGGCUAGAGUGUCGGAGAGGAUGGUGGGAUUCCCAGUGUAGAGGUGAAAUUCGUAGAUAUUGGGAAGAACACCGGUGGCGAAGGCGACCAUCUGGACGACAACUGACGCUGAGGCGCGAAAGCGUGGGGAGCAAACAGGAUUAGAUACCCUGGUAGUCCACGCCGUAAACUAUGCGUGUUGGACGUUGGCGAGCCUAGCUCGUCGGUGCCGCAGCUAACGCGUUAAACACGCCGCCUGGGGAGUACGGCCGCAAGGUUA
Molecule: ribosomal RNA, 524 nt
Filed under: uncultured bacterium
Lineage: Bacteria
Description: bacterial SSU rRNA
Rfam family: Bacterial small subunit ribosomal RNA
Source: RNAcentral